UAUAUGGUCAAGAAGAGAAUCGCAAACGGUGGAUGCCUUGGCAGUAAGAGUCGAAGAAGGACGUGGAAUCCUGCGAAAAGCUAUGGGGAGCUGGAAACGAGCGUUGAGCCAUAGAUGUCCGAAUGGGCGAACCCGGCUGCAGCGAUGCGGUCAUUUGCAUUUGAAUACAUAGGAUGCAAAGGCGAACUCGGGGAACUGAAACAUCUAAGUACCCGAAGGAAAAGAAAUCAAGAGAGAUUCUCCAAGUAGCGGCGAGCGAACGGGGAGCAGCCCAGAGUCUGAAUCAGCUUGUGUGUUAGUG
This 301-nucleotide ribosomal RNA is filed under the name Klebsiella quasipneumoniae. RNAcentral describes it as "partial 23S ribosomal RNA". It matches the Rfam family "Bacterial large subunit ribosomal RNA", at positions 1 to 310 of the family's 2925-position model. The record is from RNAcentral. Lineage: Bacteria; Pseudomonadati; Pseudomonadota; Gammaproteobacteria; Enterobacterales; Enterobacteriaceae.